RNAcentral lists this long non-coding RNA (469 nucleotides) under Chelonoidis abingdonii (Abingdon island giant tortoise). RNAcentral's name for it is "lncRNA (ENSCABG00000021635.1)". The record is from RNAcentral. Lineage: Eukaryota; Metazoa; Chordata; Testudines; Testudinidae.
CCUCCUGAGUCUUGAACUCAAGAAGAAUAAACUGCGGACAAUGGGCCUUUCUUACCUGUUAAGGGUGUUUGAGUCCCCAGAGUGCAAGAUUUGGAAAUUAGGCCUCCAGGGAACUGGUUUGUCAGAUGAAUCCUGCGGGAGCCUCUGCUCUGCUCUCUCCAAAAACUCCAGCCUCCGGCAUCUGAACCUGAGUGCGAAUAUGUUCACUGAUCGCUGUGCUGAAGAAGUGCAUCUCCUUAUCCUGACGUGCCCUAGCCUCACUGAGAUCAGGCUAGGUUUGAAUGACUUCUCUCCAGAGGUGGAAAAGCAGCUGAAGAACGUGCAGAGAGAACGGCUGGACAUUCAUUUUUAAAGAACAGAGCUGUUCUGUUCCAUGCUGUGAAAGCAGCACUGGAUGCUAGUGAUGCACUGCCUGGUGCAGUGUCUACUGCCUGUGAUUCAGUGUGAGGGGUGACAGCUGGAGAUUAAA